This is a non-coding RNA of Acanthosepion pharaonis, 109 nucleotides long. The record is from the annotation of a GenBank genome assembly. NCBI's taxonomy places the organism in Eukaryota, Metazoa, Mollusca, Cephalopoda, Sepiida, Sepiidae.
UUACAGCCAUAUCACAAAGAAACACCAGUUCUUGCAAGAUCACUGAAGUUAAGCAACAUCCAGCCUGGUUAGUACGUAGAUGGGUGACUGCUUGGGAAUACCAGGUGCU